RNAcentral lists this long non-coding RNA (292 nucleotides) under Phoenix dactylifera (date palm). RNAcentral describes it as "long non-coding RNA (PDAC_LNC023004)". Lineage: Eukaryota; Viridiplantae; Streptophyta; Magnoliopsida; Arecales; Arecaceae. The record is from RNAcentral.
GCGCGUGGGACCUACGCGGUGGGUCCACCGAUCGCACGGCCGUUGAUGGUGAUCGGUUGGUGGGCCCAGGGGAAGCCCGUGACGCCGUGGGCCACGUCUCGGAGAAGUCUUGGACGAAACGACACGCCCAAGUGUGGCCGUUUUGUGGUCCAUUGGGUCCAUCAAUUGCGACAGUCCGAUCGAUGGACCUGACGCGUUUCGGGCUGGGCGACCGGGCACGUGGUGGACCGGUUCCACGGUGGUCGUCAUCCGACGCGGUUGAGAGUUGACACCUGGGACCAACGGGAACCCC